RNAcentral lists this ribosomal RNA (433 nucleotides) under uncultured bacterium. RNAcentral's name for it is "partial 16S ribosomal RNA". It matches the Rfam family "Bacterial small subunit ribosomal RNA", at positions 29 to 507 of the family's 1533-position model. The record is from RNAcentral.
AACGAACGCUGGCGGCAUGCCUAACACAUGCAAGUCGAACGAGACCUUCGGGUCUAGUUGCGCACGGGUGCGUAACGCGUGGGAACCUGCCCUUAGGUUCGGAAUAACUCCCCGAAAGGGGUGCUAAUACCGGAUAAUGUCUUCGGACCAAAGAUUUAUCGCCUUUGGAUGGGCCCGCGUUGGAUUAGCUAGUUGGUAGGGUAAAAGCGUACCAAGGCGACGAUCCAUAGCUGGUCUGAGAGGAUGAUCAGCCACACUGGGACUGAGACACGGCUCAGACUCCUACGGGAGGCAGCAGUGGGGAAUAUUGGACAAUGGGCGAAAGCCUGAUCCAGCAAUGCCGCGUGAGUGAUGAAGGCCUUAGGGUUGUAAAGCUCUUUUACCCGGGAUGAUAAUGACAGUACCGGGAGAAUAAGCUCCGGCUAACUCCGUG